GAUGAACGCUGGCGGCGUGCCUAAUACAUGCAAGUCGAGCGAACAGACGAGGAGCUUGCUCCUCUGACGUUAGCGGCGGACGGGUGAGUAACAUGUGGAUAACCUACCUAUAAGGCUGGGAUAACUUCGGGAAACCGGAGCUAAUACCGGAUAAUAUAUUGAACCGCAUGGUUCAAUAGUGAAAGACGGUUUUGCUGUCACUUAUAGAUGGAUCCGCGCCGCAUUAGCUAGUUGGUAAGGUAACGGCUUACCAAGGCAACGAUGCGUAGCCGACCUGAGAGGGUGAUCGGCCACACUGGAACUGAGACACGGUCCAGACUCCUACGGGAGGCAGCAGUAGGGAAUCUUCCGCAAUGGGCGAAAGCUUGACGGAGCAACGCCGCGUGAGUGAUGAAGGUCUUCGGAUCGUAAAACUCUGUUAUUAGGGAAGAACAAAUGUGUAAGUAACUAUGCACGUCUUGACGGUACCUAAUCAGAAAGCCACGGCUAACUACGUG
Molecule: ribosomal RNA, 497 nt
Filed under: uncultured bacterium
Lineage: Bacteria
Description: partial 16S ribosomal RNA
Rfam family: Bacterial small subunit ribosomal RNA
Source: RNAcentral